GUGCUCGCUUCAGCAGCACAUAUACUAAAAUUGGAAUGAUUCAGAGAAGAUUAGCGUUGCCCCUGCUCAAGGAUGAUAUGCAAAUUAAUGAAGUGUUCCAUAUUUUU
Ochotona princeps (American pika) is the source of this 107-nucleotide small nuclear RNA. The record is from RefSeq and is a predicted model, not a curated record. NCBI's taxonomy places the organism in Eukaryota, Metazoa, Chordata, Mammalia, Lagomorpha, Ochotonidae.